GGGGGUGCAAGCGUUGUCCGGAAUCAUUGGGCGUAAAGCGUUCGUAGGCGGUAUGUCAAGUCUGGUGUCAAAGCCCGGGGCUCAACUCCGGUUCGGCAUUGGAUACUGGCAAACUAGAAUGUGGUAGAGGUAAAGGGAAUUCCUGGUGUAGCGGUGAAAUGCGUAGAUAUCAGGAGGAACAUCGGUGGCGAAAGCGCUUUACUGGACCAUUAUUGACGCUGAGGAACGAAAGCCAGGGGAGCAAA
RNAcentral lists this ribosomal RNA (245 nucleotides) under uncultured bacterium. RNAcentral describes it as "partial 16S ribosomal RNA". It matches the Rfam family "Bacterial small subunit ribosomal RNA", at positions 528 to 772 of the family's 1533-position model. The record is from RNAcentral.